Non-coding RNA from Salvia hispanica, 1138 nucleotides. The record is from RefSeq and is a predicted model, not a curated record. NCBI's taxonomy places the organism in Eukaryota, Viridiplantae, Streptophyta, Magnoliopsida, Lamiales, Lamiaceae.
GUCUUCUAGUUCAUUACUUUUCAUUCUAGGUGAUGCUGCAAUACCCUCUGCACCAUAGUGGAGGGCCUUAAUUUUGCUUGAAAGUCGAGAUAUUUCUUCAUUUUUCUGAUCCAAUUUUUUGGGCUAUCAACCAAGUUUAUUUUAGCCAGAAUUAUUAAUGCUGUGCAAGGGAUGGAGAGAGGGACUAACGUGCAACACUGCACCCGAUUUUGAAGUCUGUAGAGGGAGAGUUAAAUUCACUGGUUUGUAGGCAUCUGCUAGAUCUGCAAAAUCAAUUGAGACUUCUCCAAGAAAGCCCGAUUUUGAUGACCCCUGAUUUUCCCAGGUGCAGGUUCCUUCAACAAUUGGUGAUUUUGAUAAUCUGACUGUAGGCUUUCCAACAUCUACUGGAACCAGAGAAACAAUGAGGCUUUUUGAUUUGAGCUGCGGUACCUGCCAUAAUUUCAAUACAUAAGCCAAAUCAUCGAGAGGAAUGAGGGCAGAAUCAACAUUAAGAUUUCUCCGAAAUAUAAAUCUUUGAAAUAAAUGAUGGUAUUGAUUUUUGGUUCUCCAAUAGUACAAUCAUCGUUGGCAAUGGUAAUACUCACAAUCGGUGACGGUUACACGUGUUAUUUUUGGCUUGUUUUUAGUCGUAACAGAAUUAUCCAGAUGUAGCUCCUAUCAGCCUGAUUGUGAGGGUGCGAAGAGGUAAGAUUUGAAGUUCUUGAUAACGAAUAUCCAUAGAAAGAUAAUCUUGUGGUCUAGACUAUUUAAUCAAUCAUGCAAUAAUUAUACACCAUUACUUAUAUUUGAUUUAAUUGAGUUGGGUAUGUGUCGGAUUGCUAUUGCCUAUUUAUUAGCAUUAGGUGUAUUUGUACAGGAGAGAGAAGCCGUUUGUCAUUUAUGGCGAUUGAAAUGAAGAAUGUGAGUAGUACUGUAUGAUUAAUGGUUGUGUUUGGUAUCAAUUUUAUUCUUCUUCUGUAUUUUUGCAGGUUCUUGAAUAAGCUUCUGUGAUUUUGGUAAUAAGUGGGCAUCAAAUUGGUGGGAUGAAAGCUGUGCUUGGGAGCAUCACACAAUUAAAUUUGAUAAAGAAAAUAAGUUCCAUAUUGUUGCUUAAAAUUUUAAAGGCCUGCAAAAUUAAUCUGGUAAUUUGGACUCA